Molecule: unclassified non-coding RNA, 253 nt
Filed under: uncultured Elusimicrobia bacterium
Lineage: Bacteria; Pseudomonadati; Elusimicrobiota; Elusimicrobia
Description: contains 16S-23S intergenic spacer region
Rfam family: Bacterial small subunit ribosomal RNA
Source: RNAcentral
UACGUAGGUGGCAAGCGUUACUCGGAAUCACUAGGCGUAAAGCGCAGGUAGGCGGUCUGGCAAGUCCGUUGUGAAAGCUCCCGGCUUAACUGGGAGAGGCCAACGGAAACUGCUGGGCUUGAGUGUGGUAGAGGAAACUAGAAUUCCCGGUGUAGCGGUGAAAUGCGUAGAUAUCGGGAGGAAUACCUAUGGCGAAAGCAGGUUUCUGGGCCACCACUGACGCUGAGCUGCGAAAGCUAGGGGAGCAAACAGG